Molecule: non-coding RNA, 254 nt
Filed under: Andreesenella acetica
Lineage: Bacteria; Bacillati; Bacillota; Clostridia; Peptostreptococcales; Natronincolaceae
Description: Clostridium aceticum T-box sequence
Rfam family: T-box leader
About the family: Uncharged tRNA acts as the effector for transcription antitermination of genes in the T-box leader family. T-boxes are found upstream of many aminoacyl-tRNA synthetase genes and some amino acid biosynthetic genes usually in Gram-positive bacteria.
Source: RNAcentral
ACAAAUGCAAUGAAGGAGAACGGUAUUUUGCAUAAAGCAGUUUCAGAGAGUCGGUGGUAGCUGUGAACCGAUACUGUCGUGGAAUACAAAUCCCUCCCAAGCAGUUCCUCUGAAACCAGAUACAUAGCUCCAGUAAGAGGUAAACGGUAAGCCCCGUUAUAGGCAAGGGUUUGAUAGAACCUAGAGAGUGGUUUCUGCUGUGAAGUAGAUGCAAGUUAGGGUGGUAACGCGCGGAAUAAUUCCUCGUCCCUGUA